GAAAACGAAAAAUUUUUUGAGUUGGGUUGCAACGCUUUUCCUUUAAAAGCCUUUGUUCUGAAUGUCGACUUCUCCUCUACAAACGCAUCUUUGAUCCUUCUUCUAUUUGGUUAUCAAUCGCAAAAUUUAAGGAAAGGUGCACUACUACUUAUACUAUUGUAGUACUCUCACUCACAUGAAGAAGAAGGUAAGUUUUUCCUUAUAUGAAGCAAGCUUGAAAUAUAUUACCUUUGACAUUUGAUACAGUGUUAAUGGUAUGAAAAAGUUAGAAAUAGACUUCGUUUCAUUUUUUUCAGUUCGAAAGUGCUUAAAGUAACAAAAUUUUGGAUUUUUCUCAUAAAAUCAGGUUCGAAAAUGGGAUUCAUUGUUUUAAAUGAAAUUUCUUUUCAUUACAGGAUGACUUGUCCACUAUAUUACAAACUACGAUUGAAGUAUGGCGAGG
RNAcentral lists this long non-coding RNA (442 nucleotides) under Jatropha curcas. Its description in RNAcentral is "long non-coding RNA (JCUR_LNC000507)". The record is from RNAcentral. Lineage: Eukaryota; Viridiplantae; Streptophyta; Magnoliopsida; Malpighiales; Euphorbiaceae.